RNAcentral lists this ribosomal RNA (762 nucleotides) under Clostridioides difficile. Its description in RNAcentral is "partial 23S ribosomal RNA". It matches the Rfam family "Bacterial large subunit ribosomal RNA", at positions 683 to 1453 of the family's 2925-position model. The record is from RNAcentral. Lineage: Bacteria; Bacillati; Bacillota; Clostridia; Peptostreptococcales; Peptostreptococcaceae.
UUUAACUGAGCGUUCAGUUACUUGACGUAGACCCGAAACCGGGCGACCUACCCAUGAGCAGGAUGAAGCGAAAGUAAAAUUUCGUGGAGGUCCGAACCCACGAGCGUUGAAAAGCUCGGGGAUGACUUGUGGGUAGCGGUGAAAUUCCAAUCGAGCCCGGAGAUAGCUGGUUCUCCCCGAAAUAGCUUUAGGGCUAGCCUCAAGGUGAGAGAUACGGAGGUAGAGCACUGAAUGUCCUAGGGGGUAUUGCACCUACCGAAGACUAUCAAACUCCGAAUGCCGUCAUCUUAUACUUGGGAGUCAGACUGUGGGUGAUAAGAUUCAUAGUCGAAAGGGCAACAGCCCAGAUCGUCAGCUAAGGUCCCUAAAUGUAAGUUAAGUGGUAAAGGAUGUGGGAUUGCACAGACAACCAGGAUGUUGGCUUAGAAGCAGCCACUCAUUCAAAGAGUGCGUAAUAGCUCACUGGUCGAGUGAUCCUGCGCCGAAGAUUUCCGGGGCUAAAACUUACUACCGAAGCUACGGCAUCAGUAAUGAUGGGUAGGGGAGCUUCCCAUACGGGUUGAAGCAUGACCGUAAGGACAUGUGGACAGUAUGGGAGUGAGAAUGUUGGCAUGAGUAGCGAGAUGUGGGUGAGAAUCCCACAGGCCGUAAACCCAAGGUUUCCAGGGGAAGGUUCGUCCGCCCUGGGUUAGUCGGGACCUAAGCUGAGGCCGAAAGGCGUAGGUGAUGGACAACAGGUUGAUAUUCCUGUACUACCGAUAA